RNAcentral lists this ribosomal RNA (484 nucleotides) under uncultured bacterium. RNAcentral's name for it is "partial 16S ribosomal RNA". It matches the Rfam family "Bacterial small subunit ribosomal RNA", at positions 30 to 507 of the family's 1533-position model. The record is from RNAcentral.
AUUGAACGCUGGCGGCAGGCCUAACACAUGCAAGUCGAGCGGACGAAGGGAGCUUGCUCCUGGCUUCAGCGGCGGACGGGUGAGUAAUGACCAGGAAUCUGCCUGGUCGUGGGGGAUAACGUCCGGAAACGGGCGCUAAUACCGCAUCCGUCCUGAGGGUGAAAGUGGGGGAUCUUCGGACCUCACGCUAUCAGAUGAGCCUAGGCCGGAUUAGCUAGUUGGUGGGGUAAAGGCCUACCAAGGCGACGAUCCGUAACUGGUCUGAGAGGAUGAUCAGUCACACUGGAACUGAGACACGGUCCAGACUCCUACGGGAGGCAGCAGUAGGGAAUAUUGGGCAAUGGGCGAAAGCCUGAUCCAGCCAUGCCGCGUGUGUGAAGAAGGUCUUCGGAUUGUAAAGCACUUUAAGUUGGGAGGAAGAGCAGUAAGUUAAUACCUUGCUGUUUUGACGUUACCAACAGAAAAAGCACCGGCUAACUUCGUG